UUUAAAGCUAUGAAAGGAAAGAGUAAAUAUAAUGAUUCCGUAAAGCGAGCCGGGUAUGGUGGAAGCCGGUACGGAUAAUAUGUUGAAUGGGUCCUUGAGCUGCUUUUCGAAAUGAGUAGAAAAAGCCGUGUCCUGCGUUAAAGGUUAAGAGAGCUUAAAGCUAAAUUGGGUGGUACCGCGGGUUGCUUCUCGUCCCAUUG
RNAcentral lists this non-coding RNA (200 nucleotides) under Caloramator quimbayensis. RNAcentral describes it as "T-box sequence". It matches the Rfam family "T-box leader". From Rfam's summary of the family: Uncharged tRNA acts as the effector for transcription antitermination of genes in the T-box leader family. T-boxes are found upstream of many aminoacyl-tRNA synthetase genes and some amino acid biosynthetic genes usually in Gram-positive bacteria. The anticodon of a specific tRNA base pairs to a specifier sequence within the T-box motif, and the NCCA acceptor tail of the tRNA base pairs to a conserved bulge in the T-box antiterminator hairpin. Lineage: Bacteria; Bacillati; Bacillota; Clostridia; Eubacteriales; Clostridiaceae. The record is from RNAcentral.